RNAcentral lists this ribosomal RNA (878 nucleotides) under uncultured bacterium. RNAcentral's name for it is "bacterial SSU rRNA". It matches the Rfam family "Bacterial small subunit ribosomal RNA", at positions 28 to 916 of the family's 1533-position model. The record is from RNAcentral.
GAUAAACGCUGGCGGCGUGCCUAAUGCAUGCAAGUCGAACGGGGGUGUAGAUUUCGGUUUACAUUCCAGUGGCAGAUGGGUGAGUAACGCGUAAGAAUCUAUCCUUGAGAGGGGGAUAACCCCGGGAAAUCGGGGCUAAUACCGCGUAAAGUCCGUUAAGUGAUUAAUGGACCAAAGCUAUGCUUAUGCAUGGUGCUUGAGGAGGGGCUUGCGUCCGAUUAGCUAGUUGGUGAGGUAAGGGCCCACCAAGGCGAAGAUCGGUAGCUGGUCUAAGAGGAUGGACAGCCACACUGGGACUGAGACACGGCCCAGACUCCUACGGGAGGCAGCAGCAGGGGAUAUUGCGCAAUGGGCGGAAGCCUGACGCAGCAACGCCGCGUGGGGGAAGAAGGCUUUCGAGUUGUAAACCCCUUUUCUUGGGGAAGAGUAAGGACGGUACCUGAGGAAUAAGCCUCGGCUAACUACGUGCCAGCAGCCGCGGUAAGACGUGGGAGGCGAGCGUUAUCCGGAAUUAUUGGGCGUAAAGGGCGUGUAGGCGGCUUUUUAAGUUCCUGGUGAAAUCUCCUGGCUCAACUGGGAGGGUGCCAGGAAAACUGGAGGGCUUGAGGGCAGCAGAGGGGGGUGGAAUUCCCGGUGUAGUGGUGAUAUGCGUAGAUAUCGGGAGGAACACCAGUGGCGAAGGCGGCCCCCUGGGCUGCACCUGACGCUGAGGCGCGAAAGCGUGGGGAGCAAACAGGAUUAGAUACCCUGGUAGUCCACGCUGCAAACGAUGGACACUAGGUAUGGGGGGUAUCGACCCCCUCCGUGCCGAAGCUAACGCCAUAAGUGUCCCGCCUGGGGAUUACGGCCGCAAGGCUAAAACUCAAAGGAAUUGACGG